Molecule: long non-coding RNA, 220 nt
Organism: Lagenorhynchus albirostris (white-beaked dolphin)
Lineage: Eukaryota; Metazoa; Chordata; Mammalia; Artiodactyla; Delphinidae
Exons: 3
Source: RefSeq, a predicted model, not a curated record
CCCAUUGCGGAGCACAGGCUCUGGAUGCGCAGGCUCAGCGGCCAUGGCUCACGGGCCCAGCCGCUCCGCGGCACGUGGGAUCUUCCCGGACCGGGGCACAAACCCAUGUCCCCUGCAUCGGCAGGCGGACUCUCAACCACUGCGCCACCAGACCCAGACUCUCUGCACCAAGCACUAUCGUGCUUCCCUUUUCUGUGCCAGUCUUCUGUAGGUUCAUAUA